Molecule: small RNA, 5462 nt
Filed under: Caenorhabditis elegans
Lineage: Eukaryota; Metazoa; Nematoda; Chromadorea; Rhabditida; Rhabditidae
Description: Unclassified non-coding RNA Y48A6C.15
Source: RNAcentral
GCCAAAAAAACCAAUGGGGUUUUUACAAAUUCUUCAAGAAUGUCGAGCCGAAGGACUAUGGCCAAUUGGGCCAUCUUGUAAUAAGGUGCUGUGAAAAAUUUGGAAAAAAAUUAUUAUACAUUCGUCGAAAAAUUUCAUCUCAGUUUAAAGGCGCACACAUUUUUUGUACUUUGGGUCUCACCACGAUUUCGACUUUUUGAAGCUUAAAAUCACUAAAAAUUACGUGGAUCGUGGCAGGACAAAAAAGUGUUAUUAUACAUUCGCCAAAAAAUGCCAGCUGAUGAAAGGUGCAUGUUUUUUGCAAAAAUUGCAAAAAAUUACCAAUCGAAAAAAAAAACUCAUAUUUUUCCGAUGGGUCUCGCCACGAUCUGCGUCUUUUGGAUCCUAAAAGAACCCAAAAUUAUGUGAAUCGUGGCGGGACCCAGAAGUGUAUGCGCCUUUAAAAUAGGAGAGUAUAUUUUUGAGAAUGUGUAAUAAUUUAUUUUUUUGCUUUGAAGAAACUUUUUAUCAUUUUAUGAUAAUAAUAAUUUUAUUAUACAUACGUCGAAAAAAUGUCAUGGCAAUUACCUUUAGGUCUCGCCACGAUCUACGUCUUUUGGAUCCUAGAAGCGUCCAAAAUCACGCAAUUCGUGACGAGACCCAACAGUGUAUGCGUCUUUAAAAUAAGCUUGCAUAAUUGUGGGAAUGUAUAAUAAUUUAUUAUUGUAUUUUUUCAAUUAUUUAUUACAAAAAAAUGUAUCAAAAAAUUUUAUACAAAUCAACAAAAAAAACAAAAACAAUUUUUUUCGUGUACUCCACACGGACAACAAACUGUAGUUUUACAACUAAAACGCGCCGUAAAUCUACACAAAAUCUCUCCGACCCAAAAUGGCCUAAUUCGGCAAACUCUGCCAUUUCGAUUCAUGAGGGAAGCCAGAAUUCCGUGUUUUAACCGAAAAUUCCAGAGUCUAUCAAAAAAUUCCAAUUUCACCUUUCUACCGUAGUCCAGCGCGGGAAUUCAAAAUUCUCACGUUCCACCGGUCUCCCUUAUCAAUAUAUAUAUCAUCCUCACGGGGUUCUGGCUCGACCCCCCUCUCGAAAAUUUUGGAAAAUGGCGGGAAAAAAUAUUUGAUCUCGCAAGAGGAAUUUUCACGCAGCGCGUUGAAAAAGUGUAUGCAUUUGCGCGUGACGGUGUUUGCACAAAAUACACCGAGGGGUCGAGCCAGAACCCCGUGCAUCCUCCCAAUCACUUUCACUGGUUACUUUUUCAUUUUACCUUUUUUUUUACGAAUUUCCGUUCGCGAAACCAAAAAAAAAAUUCCAAAAAAAAGACCGGUGGCUAUAAUUACAGUACUGCUAUUUUCGCAUCGCCAAGGGGGUUAGAUCAGGGGUGCGCGGCAAUUGCCGUACGGCAAUCGAAUUGUCGGCAAUUUCGGCAAUUGCCGAAAUUGCCGAUUGCCGAAAAUUUUGAAAACCGGCAAUUGUCGAAAUUGCCGAUUGCCGGAAAUUUUCGAUUGCCGCGCACCCCUGGGUUAGAUGUUCUUCUCUCCUAUGUGUGUAUAUGUGCUAUCAGUCGAGUACUGAAAAUUGUGCAUGAUUUUUCAAAAAAAAAAAACCACCCAAGUCUUGACUCCUUUUUUUUCGCUGUUUUUUUCUGGAAAACUCAAAAUAUUUGUUCUCUAUUUUUCAAUAAUUUUGAAAAAUAAACCUUUAAAUUGGCUCUCGCCACGAUUUUAGCGGGUCUUUUUUUUCAAAUUUUCAAAUUAUAUAUUUUUUUAUUUAACAAUUCCAAUUUUUACCGAUUUUCAUUGAAAAUUGGCACGGGUUUCUAAUUUCCCCCCUGUUUUCAAAUGGAAGAGGUGGCCGUGAAAAAAGCGAACCUCGACCGGGGGUCGCGACCGGGAAAACUCAACGAAAUUUCGCAUUUUCGUUGCUUUUUUCGGUUUCAAAACACGUUUUCGUUUGAUUUUGUAUUAAAUAAAAUGCAAAAUCGAUUGAAAACGUGUUUUGAAACCGAAGAAAGCAACGAAAAUGCGAAAUUUCGUUAAGUUUUUCCGGUCGCGACCCCCGGUCGAGGUUCGCUUUUUUCACGGCCACCUCUUCCAUUUGAAAACAGGGGGAAAUUAGAAACCCGUGAAUUGGCGAAUUCUCAUUUAAAAAGUUUAAAAAUUGCUUGAGACUUACAGUAGUUUUAAAGGAGCAUGCACAAAUUCUUGCGAUGGGUCUUGCCACGAACUCUAUUCUUCGAAUUUUAAACUCAAAUUUAAAGAUUUUCUUCUCAUUUUUUGCCUAAUAUUCAUCAAAUCUAUUGAUUUUUCUUGCAGAGAAUGUGCCAGGAGGCUCGCCACGUCAGCUUCUAAAUAAUCAACACUAUUUGGAGCAUCAAGAGCCCCCGCGUCAAGCAAUUUUCAACGCAACUCUCCAAAUUCAACAGGAAAUCAAAAACAACGAAAACGGCGGCAUGAUGGCCCCCAGUACUGAGGUUAAUUCGGAGAAAUUUGAAUUAGAAGGCUAAUUUUUACGAUUUUUACCAUAAAAAUCCGUUAAAAACCAUAAUUUUUCCAGGAUCCCGAUACGGUUGUCGAGGCUCAACGUCGUGGAAGCUUCUCGAAGAAAAAGAACGCAAAUGGGUGGAAUAAGGUCGAACUUGUCGAUCAGUGUGUGAGUUUGUGUGACUGAGAAAAAAAAUCUAUCAAAAAUCGAAAAUUUCUACUGUAAAAACGAGAAAAUCUCGAAUUUUCACGUUUUUCAGCGAAAAUUGCCGCAAAAGUUAUAGAUUUUUGAGAAAAUGCCCAUUUUUCAGACAAAAACUUUUAGAAAAAGCGGAUUUCUGACGAAAAUUUGUGAAAAUCGAAUUUUCCCUUAAAAUUGGCUUAAAGAAGGAGUAUCGUCAACGGGGAAAUUGUUUUAAAAUGUAGUAUUGGUGCUCAAACUUCCAAUUAUUACAGAAGAAAAACGAGAAAAAUCCGUUAACAUUGAGCAUUUAGCCGUUGAAAUCGACGAAAGUGGCUGAAUUUGAAUUUAGCGCGCAUAUGAAACCUAGGCCACCACACGAUUUCUAGGCCAUAUUCGUUCAACAAAAUAUUGAUUUAAAUGUAAUUAUUUCGAACUUUAAUUUGUUUUUCUUUCUCAAAAAGUUUAAGAAAACUGAGAUAAAGGAAUUGUAUUAAGUACUUAUCAAAAAUACAAUACACAACAGAAUAAAAAUUCGAUUGAUCCUGGCACUGCAACUUUUUUUGAACGAGGGCCGAGGAGAAAACGUUUCGCGGCCGUGGCCGAGGAUCCGACAAUAUUUCGCGUUUUUUUUCUCGCUUAUUUUUUGUUGUUUUCAUGCACGGCCUCCCGCACGAGAAAAGCGCACACUCUCUCACUUUUUGUUUGCGCGUUUGCGGACGACCACCUUGCCUCGCCGCCGCUUUCAACAGAGAUUCAUGAAAUUGAGCCAGAAUUGCUAUUUUUGAACGAAAUUUCGAAUUUUUUUCACAGAACUAGUGAAAUUGAUAAACUGGGAAGUCGGAAAUUACAAAAAAUAGUUAAUACGAGCUGUUUUUCAGUGAUUUUUCGCAAUAAUUAUAUGGAAUCAGAAGUAUUCUGGGCAAAAAAGCAUUUUUUUAGAUUGAAAAUUGUUAAAUAUAAUACUAUCAGUGUAUUUGAACGGUUUAAAUAAAGAAAAUGUGUACGACUGUGGCUUCGGGCUGAUUCUCGCUCUUCUCGUGGCAAGUGGAUGUAUCGUAUGGACUUUGAACAGCUACAACUUUUUUCGCGUUGGAGAUAGAAACUAGCGAUAAACUGACAAAAUGAACAUCACAAAUAGGUGAACAUUUCUUUAGUUGACAAUUUUUUGAUAUCUCGUUCCACUAAAAAGAUUCAGCUAUGAUUAGAUGAUUGAAGUCUCAGAUACGGUACUCUCUCUUAAAACCAUCAAAUCUCUGUUCUCGUUGAAGAUACAAAAAUGUGUUCAACUGAAAAAAUGUUAAGCAGAUAAAAAACAACAUUUACCAGCAAGAACUACAUUUCUAUCUACAAAACUAAUAGAGAUUCUGACUUUUGAAAAGUGAUUAUCUUAAACCGGCCAUGUCAACAAAUCCUGAACAUUAACAUUGAGUUUUCUAUUGGAAACAUACUCUAUAUAAGAUAUCUAACAAAUUUGUAGUUGACUACUUUCUUCUAAUGUCUUUAUUUUUUGAGAUAUGAACUGAUCUCUGAUUUUCUCAUAAAUACGACUUUCGAGGCUUGUAACAAAUUUGUCUUACUAGUUAGAAAAAUAUUGUCAACAGAAGAAAUAUUCACCAUUUCAAACUGAACAUUUUGUUAGUUAACAAUUUUUUUGUAACUUUUAUAGGAGCGGAGAUAGGAGCAUCCAAAGUGUGAGGGCGCAGUAGAGUGGGUACUGUAGGUGCCGCCACCAACGCGCGCAGCCUUUGGCAUGACAUAAGUCCCUUCAAACUGGACUAAUCCACUUUCCCAAAAAUGUCUUUUAACUGGAAUUGAAAUACAAACAAUCCCUAACCACCGAAAUUUUUACUUUAAGUCAACUAUUUUUGGAAAAUUGCUAAAAAAAAUUGAAAACCUCAAAAAAUAGCCAAUUUAGUACUGAGGUGACUCUUCAAAUAUUAAUAACUUUCUCAAUUUCGGUCCAUUUUUUGAAAUUUUUAGCUCAAAAUGUUGGCAAUAAAAUUCUCUACAAACUUAUUGCGUCCGAUUUUAUUGUUCAAGCCAAAACUUUUUUGCAAAGUUCGAAAAAUUCCGAAAAGUGGUCCAUUUAGCACUGAGGUGACUCUUCAAAUAUUAAUAACUUUCUCAAUUUCGGUCCUUUUUUUGAAAUUUUUAGCCCAAAAUGUUCGCAAUAAAAUUCUCUACAAACUUAUUGCGUCCGAUUUUCAAUAUUUUAUGUUUCACGAUCCCUGCUCUGCUGGAAGUGCUGAACUUUCAAAAUGCAAACUUUUGUUGGUCGAAAAAUUAGAGCUUUAAACAAUUUUUUCGUCUGUUUUUUAUAUUGUCCCGAUAGCUUAACAAGAGUGGAAUAAUUUUUGUUUAAAAAAUAUCAUAUAAUCUUCGGAGUUGGGCCAAAGUUACCGGGAAUCCGUAAUUUUUAUUAUUUUCAAGAUAUUUCGUUUCGUGAUGAAGAAAAUUAUUCCUAUUUUAUUUCAAACGAAAGAUAAUUUCAUUCCUAAUAACCUCCAUUUGUUUAUUUUUCAAUUCAUUCAGUUUCCUCCAUUCCAGACCCAUUUUAAGAUAGCCGCUUGGGCGCCUACUCUCGCCAUGCUGUGGAGGUGAGAGACGCAGAGUCACUUUUUUUCUCUGCCGUCUCUCGGCGCAUUUCACGCGCAGGAGGCCGUGUUCAUGCGUGUUUUUUGUCAUUUUUCUUCAUUUUUUCUCGAUUUUUUUGACAUAAUAUUUGAAAACAAACAUUUUUUUCAGGAAAUUCACAGGAAAUUCGUCAAACCGCUGUCUCCGACGUGUUUUGAGGACAAUUUAAGAGG